CCCUUAGAUGUUCUGGGCCGCACACGCGCUACACUGAAGGAGGCAGCGUGUACUCCUGGAUCGAAAGAUUUGGGUAACCCGCGAAUCUCCUUCGUGCUAGGGAUUGAGGUUUGCAAUUAUCCUUCAUGAACGAGGAAUUCCCAGUAAGUGCAAGUCAUAAGCUUGCGCUGACUACGUCCCUGCCCUUUGUACACACCGCCCGUCGCUCCUACCGAUUGAAUGAUUUAGUGAGGACUUCGGACUGGGACCGAUGCGGCUUUCGGGCUGCGUCGGUAUUCUGGAAAGAUGUCCAAACUGUAUCAUUUAGAGGAAGUAAAAGUCGUAACA
RNAcentral lists this ribosomal RNA (327 nucleotides) under uncultured eukaryote. RNAcentral's name for it is "partial 18S ribosomal RNA". It matches the Rfam family "Eukaryotic small subunit ribosomal RNA", at positions 1470 to 1796 of the family's 1831-position model. The record is from RNAcentral.